GACGAACGCUGGCGGCGUGCCUAAUACAUGCAAGUUGAGCGCUGAAGGUUGGUACUUGUACCAACUGGAUGAGCAGCGAACGGGUGAGUAACGCGUGGGGAAUCUGCCUUUGAGCGGGGGACAACAUUUGGAAACGAAUGCUAAUACCGCAUAAAAACUUUAAACACAAGUUUUAAGUUUGAAAGAUGCAAUUGCAUACUCAAAGAUGAUCCCGCGUUGUAUUAGCUAGUUGGUGAGGUAAAGGCUCACCAAGGCGAUGAUACAUAGCCGACCUGAGAGGGUGAGCGGCCACAUUGGGACUGAGACACGGCCCAAACUCCUACGGGAGGCAGCAGUAGGGAAUCGUCGGCAAUGGACGAAAGUCUGACCGAGCAACGCCGAGUGAGUGAAGAAGGUUUUCGGAUCGUAAAACUCUGUUGGUAGAGAAGAACGUUGGUGAGAGUGGAAAGCUCAUCAAGUGACGGUAACUACCCAGAAAGGGACGGCUAACUACGUG
Molecule: ribosomal RNA, 496 nt
Filed under: uncultured bacterium
Lineage: Bacteria
Description: partial 16S ribosomal RNA
Rfam family: Bacterial small subunit ribosomal RNA
Source: RNAcentral